GACGAACGCUGGCGGCGUGCUUAACACAUGCAAGUCGAACGGAAAGGCCCUGCUUUUGUGGGGUGCUCGAGUGGCGAACGGGUGAGUAACACGUGAGUAACCUGCCCUUGACUUUGGGAUAACUUCAGGAAACUGGGGCUAAUACCGGAUAGGAGCUCCUGCUGCAUGGUGGGGGUUGGAAAGUUUCGGCGGUUGGGGAUGGACUCGCGGCUUAUCAGCUUGUUGGUGGGGUAGUGGCUUACCAAGGCUUUGACGGGUAGCCGGCCUGAGAGGGUGGCCGGCCACAUUGGGACUGAGAUAGGGCCCAGACUCCUACGGGAGGCAACGGUGGGGAAUAUUGCACAGUGGGCGGGAGCCUGAUGCAGCAGCGCCGCGUGCGGGAUGACGGCCUUCGGGUUAUAAACCGCUUUCGCCUGUGACGAAGCGUGAGUGACGGUAAUGGGUAAAGAAGCACCGGCUAACUACGUG
RNAcentral lists this ribosomal RNA (468 nucleotides) under uncultured bacterium. RNAcentral describes it as "partial 16S ribosomal RNA". It matches the Rfam family "Bacterial small subunit ribosomal RNA", at positions 28 to 507 of the family's 1533-position model. The record is from RNAcentral.